Regulatory RNA element from Megasphaera elsdenii, 74 nucleotides. It matches the Rfam family "c-di-GMP-I riboswitch aptamer". Rfam says of the family: GEMM was predicted in a large-scale screen for bacterial structured RNA regulatory elements. Genes associated with GEMM are involved in a diverse array of functions, including chemotaxis regulation, signal transduction, secretion and chitin. Lineage: Bacteria; Bacillati; Bacillota; Negativicutes; Veillonellales; Veillonellaceae. The record is from Rfam.
CAUUAAAUUCGGCAAACCCGGGGAAACCCGGCGACGCAAAGCUAUAGGGCCUCUGCUGGCAGCCAGUUGCAAUC